GACGAACGCUGGCGGCGUGCUUAACACAUGCAAGUCGAACGGAAAGGCCCUGCUUUUGUGGGGUGCUCGAGUGGCGAACGGGUGAGUAACACGUGAGUAACCUGCCCUUGACUUUGGGAUAACUUCAGGAAACUGGGGCUAAUACCGGAUAGGAGCUCCUGCUGCAUGGUGGGGGUUGGAAAGUUUCGGCGGUUGGGGAUGGACUCGCGGCUUAUCAGCUUGUUGGUGGGGUAGUGGCUUACCAAGGCUUUGACGGGUAGCCGGCCUGAGAGGGUGACCGGCAACAUUGGGACUGAGAGACGGACCAGAAUGCUACGGGAGGCAGCAGUGGGGAAUAUUGCACAAUGGGAGGAAGCCUGAUGCAGCAACGCAGCGUGCGGGAUGACGGCCUUCGGGUUGUAAACCGCUUUCGCCUGUGACGAAGCGUGAGUGACGGUAAUGGGUAAAGAAGCACCGGCUAACUACGUG
RNAcentral lists this ribosomal RNA (468 nucleotides) under uncultured bacterium. Its description in RNAcentral is "partial 16S ribosomal RNA". It matches the Rfam family "Bacterial small subunit ribosomal RNA", at positions 28 to 507 of the family's 1533-position model. The record is from RNAcentral.